Molecule: ribosomal RNA, 292 nt
Filed under: uncultured bacterium
Lineage: Bacteria
Description: partial 16S ribosomal RNA
Rfam family: Bacterial small subunit ribosomal RNA
Source: RNAcentral
GUGCCAGCAGCCGCGGUAAUACGAAGGGUGCAAGCGUUAAUCGGAAUUACUGGGCGUAAAGCGUGCGUAGACGGCCUGUUAAGUCGGAUGUGAAAGCCCCGGGCUCAACCUGGGAAUGGCAUCCGAUACUGAUGGGCUAGAGUGCGGUAGAGGAGAGCGGAAUUCCCGGUGUAGCGGUGAAAUGCGUAGAGAUCGGGAGGAACAUCCGUGGCGAAGGCGGCUCUCUGGACCAGCACUGACGUUGAGGCACGAAAGCGUGGGGAGCAAACAGGAUUAGAAACCCGUGUAGUCC